Molecule: ribosomal RNA, 468 nt
Filed under: uncultured bacterium
Lineage: Bacteria
Description: partial 16S ribosomal RNA
Rfam family: Bacterial small subunit ribosomal RNA
Source: RNAcentral
GACGAACGCUGGCGGCGUGCUUAACACAUGCAAGUCGAACGGAAAGGCCCUGCUUUUGUGGGGUGCUCGAGUGGCGAACGGGUGAGUAACACGUGAGUAACCUGCCCUUGACUUUGGGAUAACUUCAGGAAACUGGGGCUAAUACCGGAUAGGAGCUCCUGCUGCAUGGUGGGGGUUGGAAAGUUUCGGCGGUUGGGGAUGGACUCGCGGCGUAUCAGCUUGUUGGUGGGGUAGUGGCUUACCAAGGCUUUGACAGGUAGCCGGCCUGAGAGGGUGACCGGCCACAUUGGGACUGAGAUACGGCCCAGACUCCUACGGGAGGCAGCAGUGGGGAAUAUUGCACAAUGGGCGGAAGCCUGAUGCAGCAACGCCGCGUGCGGGAUGACGGCCUUCGGGUUGUAAACCGCUUUCGCCUGUGACGAAGCGUGAGUGACGGUAAUGGGUAAAGAAGCACCGGCUAACUACGUG